Long non-coding RNA from Lolium perenne, 473 nucleotides. RefSeq lists it as uncharacterized. Lineage: Eukaryota; Viridiplantae; Streptophyta; Magnoliopsida; Poales; Poaceae. The record is from RefSeq and is a predicted model, not a curated record.
UUGACCUAUCUCUUCGUAGUGCAGCCCCGCGGAACUUUUCUUCCUCGUCCUCAACAGCCGUGGCCUAGAUCUUUGGAGACUGCAUGCCGGAGGCGUUUGUAUAGGCGAGGAAGGUGGCAGCGGUCUUGAGGCGGUGCCCCGGGUGUAGACUGGUGGCUUUCAUCGAGGCCAAAAAUUCAUGGGGCUCCAGAUCUCCACCAGAUCUAUCGGCAAUGGAAGAUGGGGUACUGGGGUUUCAGUCUUGGGAGCAACAUCACGAGAUCGUCAGAAUAUGGGUCGCAGACAACUGGAUGAUGAUGAUGUUGUUGAAGUGUGUGGAGAUUGGAAGAUGAGCAUUUGUUGGUAGAACAAUGUCAUGUAUUUUAGAUGUGUAGUCCCUAGCUUUCAUGUACAAUCUGAAAUAAUGUAUAUAUACGUGUUUGUUCACUUUUUGAGAUUCCUUUUUUCGAGUAUAAUGGCUAUAGAAAAGAUAA